CACAGACUACAUAUAGAUACACUGACACACACAUAGACACACACAGAUAUAAACACUGACAUACAUGCAGAUACAAAGGUACACCCAUUGACUACAUAUAGAUUAUACACACACACACUGACACACAUACAGACACACAGAUACACAACCUAAAACACAUGCAGAUAUACAGAUACAAACACUGACACAUACAGAUACAUACAGAUACAGAGACACAUUCUGACAGACGUACUGACACAGACAGCCAUACUGAAACACACAUACACAAAGACAUACUGAACCACACAGACACUGACAUACAGAUAC
Pelobates cultripes (western spadefoot toad) is the source of this 306-nucleotide non-coding RNA. The record is from the annotation of a GenBank genome assembly. NCBI's taxonomy places the organism in Eukaryota, Metazoa, Chordata, Amphibia, Anura, Pelobatidae.